This 2860-nucleotide long non-coding RNA is filed under the name Helianthus annuus (common sunflower). The record is from RNAcentral. Lineage: Eukaryota; Viridiplantae; Streptophyta; Magnoliopsida; Asterales; Asteraceae.
GCUUAACAAAGGAUUCCAAAAUCAAGCUUAUUCACGAAGGUUUUAAUUUUUUGAUCGUUCGUUUUUCUGUGAAACCCUAACGGUGUUGGUAUUAAGAUUUUAAUCAAAACCAACUGUUUGAUCCGUCUUGUGGUUCAACGUAUGUUUAUCUUUGUGCUUUUUCUUUUGUUAAUUGACUCAUACAAGAGUCCCUGCAUAUUUUCAAUUUCUAUGAUCCUUGAUCAAAAGAUGAUUGCUAGACCAACAAAGAUUAUAUGGAUCAAUUUGUUUUAGGGCUGUUAAAACUCGCUCUUACGAUCUGUUAGGGUUUCAAUUCAUUUGUUGUUUUAAAUGCACAAUAAAUUGAAAAUAUGAUUAGAACGAUUAGAGUUCUUGAUAUAUAUUAUUGCACACUUACACAUUUAUUGUUGAUUGAAGAAAAUUGUGAAGUUGGAAAUUAAUCGAUAAGGGUUUUAUCUUUGAAUAAAAUUGUUUUUUUUUCUAGAACGUUUUUUUUUUGACAAAUUAGAUGUCUUUUAUUGAUCAUAAUCAAUUCAUGGGAGAUGCGAAUGACUACACAAUUUUAUGGUCGUGAAGGCUGGGCAACAUUUUUCUUUAUUGCAGGUAUGUUUGUGUCCGGUGAGAAGCUCACGUCUAGCGAUUAGCAGCGGGUUAUGCUAAAACGGGUUGGUUUGACCCAAAACAUUUUUUAUCUCAUUAUGUUUGAUGGUUGUUGAGUGGGUUGGUUUGUUGUGAUGUGUUUAGGAUGAAUAGAGGAAGUUAAAUUGGGCAUGGAUGUUGUAUCUGCAGAGAUACUGGAGGGAUGCACUAGAUGCGAAAAAGGAGGCUUUGAUUCGGUUUCUUCAGAAUGGGUCGUUGGGGAUUGUUGGAGGUGAUGGGGUGAUGAAUGAUGAGGUGCAACAAUAUUUGACGGGGAAUACUCAAAAUAGGUUUAUAAUCUUCAAUAGGAGAAGGCACUUAUUGUCAGGGUUUCAUGGAAGGCCGCAGGUCAUUAAUAGGUAACUUGCAUAUCAUUGAUGGAAGCAAGGUCAGCCAUUGACUUGGGUAGAUUUAUAUGUGUGUUUGUUAUAUGUAUAUAUGUAUGUGUGUUUAAACUGUAAUAUAUACGAUAUGAUUUAUUACUUUUGAGGUUGAAAUAAUUUGUAUAGUGAAAAGAUGUAAGUAAAGGUGAGUUCUUGAAGCGAAGCCGCAUGACGCGUUGGUAUUUUUUUCAAGGAAAUGCAAUCUGGUAGAUUCUGAAUCGGAUUUUAGAGACAAGAAAUAUGAUCGCUACCAGGCAUACUUAACCGAGUCUAACAUUGCAAGUCAUGAAUAGGUUACUUGCAUAUCAUUGAUGGAAGCAAGGUCAGCCAUUGACUCGUGAAAAGAUGUAGAAAAAGGUGAGUUCUUGAAGCGAAGCCGCUUGACGCGUUGGUAUUUUUUUUCAAGGAAAUGCAAUCUGUUCUUGAGCUCUUGAAGUGAUCCAUGAACCAAAUGGACCAACACCGUAUUCACAAUUUGAUCAUUCUUCUAUCGCGAUAACUGUAAAGAAAUUCUUCAAUUUAGAAUCCGAUUUCUUGACCAAGCGCGAUGAGUGGGCUGGCACCUUUGAGAGUUACUUCAACCUUCGUAGUACUCCACGUGAGGAUUGUCCAGGUUGAGGAUCCAGCUGAAGUUGAGGUGGUAUAGACACAUGUUAGUGGCAAUUUAGUAGCUAAGGAGGCGAAGCCAGCUCUGCAUGCUACCCAUGCUAUCCAUGACAAAGAAGUUAAAGGACAAAAGUCCAACUUUUCUUGAAUAAGUCAACCUGGAAGUUACUACCUGCACAAGAGAAAUUCAUAGUCAAAUCAGUGCUAUAAGAAUAGAUGCAAUUAUCAACAUGAUGUCUCCUUCACACAUUAUAUCCUUUUAUGAGGUUCUACAGUUCUUUCGUUUUUAGUUAUUUAUUUUCUUGGCCUAUGUGACCUGUACUGGUCGCUUUCUUCCCCUUAAGGCCGUUUAUGGUGGAGUUUGGCCUAACAUUUUAAAGUCGGACAUGUUUGGGUGCAACAACACGGUCAACGUCUAGAAAUUAAUCAAAGGUAUAGUUGGUGAUGGCAGCUCUAUUUGGUUCUGGGUUGAUGCUUGGGUGGCGGAUGUAACUCUUCAGUCUCUCUACUCGGCCUUAUUUCAGCUUGAAACUAAUAAACACUUGAAACUAAUAAACACUGUACGGUCAAAGAUCACAUCCCCACCACGUCGGAGACUACGGGGUUGACGUGGGUCUAGUCUUAUGAAAUGGAUUCUGCUGAUGAGCUGAAUGAGCUUUGGGAUUGUUGCAACCGGUUGUUUGGGAUCAACAUCCCUGGUGGGGUUGACAAAUGGAAUUGGUUGGGGGAAUCAUAUGGGGAAUUCUCAGUUAGAAUCUUAAAAUGUCUUCUUCAAAGCGAGGUUGUGGUUUCAACUAAUGAUCACUUUGAAUAGGUCAAGUGGUUGCCCAAAAAAGUCAAUAUCUUUACCAUAUUCACCCCUUUUCUCAAGCCUUCGCGACUUGCAAAAUGAUUCAUUUGGUUAUUAUCCUUGCUUGCUGGGUAAUUUGGAAGAAAAGAAACGAAGUGAUCUCUAAUUGCCUGACUGACCCGGUGAAAAUGUUGAAAGAUGUCAAAGCUUUGGGGUUCUUAUGGGUGUAUAACGGAGCUAACCUUCUAUCCUUUGAUUGAAACAGUUGGUACAACUUUUUAGUUUAUGUAACCUCUGUAUAUUCUCAUGUUGUAUAGCCUUUGGCUUGCUUUUUUUUAAUAAAUUUGGCUGAUAAAAAAAUAUUUUGAAGACAUUUAGUGCAGGAUCAAAAUCAUGUGAUAGCUUCAAAGAGGAUUCAUAGACAAUUUACUUUGCUUUUAUU